GGAAGUUUGAGGACUUUGAGUUGAUCGUUCCUGUGACAAGUGAGGAAAACAUUUAACAUAAUUGCUCAAGAUGUCUAUUCUGGCAAAGUUCUUCAUUUUUGUGUUGUUAAGUGGCAUGGUUUUGGGCGGAAAAAUCCAUGAAGACUCGCCUGAAGCAGUGACACACCAUCAGGAGAAGCGAGAGGAAUGCCCGUUCUCUUGUAUGCCAGGACCGUGUCCUUAUCAGUUGCCCCCGACUGGUGACUUCUGUUAUCAUCCGAUGGAAGUCUGUUGUCAG
This is a non-coding RNA of Pocillopora verrucosa, 277 nucleotides long. Lineage: Eukaryota; Metazoa; Cnidaria; Anthozoa; Scleractinia; Pocilloporidae. The record is from RefSeq and is a predicted model, not a curated record.